Molecule: non-coding RNA, 118 nt
Organism: Planktothricoides sp. SR001
Lineage: Bacteria; Bacillati; Cyanobacteriota; Cyanophyceae; Oscillatoriales; Oscillatoriaceae
Source: Rfam
CCUGGUGCUUUGAGCGCGGUGGUCCCACGCCUACUCCAUCUCGAACUAGGACGUGAAACGCCGCAGCGGCGAAGAUACUUGGCGGGUUGCUGCCUGGGAAAAUAGCUCAGUGCCAGGG